UUAAAGCUAUCCACAAUGUGCAGAGACAACUUUCUUCAAUAAAGUUGUCACAUUUAACAUUUGCUUCUCUGGUAUGAAAGAAGAAGUGAACAGAUUCUGAGCACCUUUGUGUGAUAUGGAAAAAUGUAUUUGCAGAAAAGAUGUUGGCUCAGAUGCAUCACGUUCUGUUCGGUUCUGGAUGAAACAGUGUCCGUUCCCCUCAUUGAAUCCCAACAUCCAUGAGACGCGAUUCUUCAAUCAACCAUUGCAUCUUUCCGACUUAUUUGUUUUAAUGCUCAGAAAGAUGCUGCCAAAUCUGCUGACUGUGUUGUCCUUGAUGCCAUUCCCUCUGGGUGAGGGACAUUCAUUGUCACCGUGGGCAAAAGACUUGAGUUGUGCCAUCCACUGCAGUAGGACUUGUGACCUGAAGAGGUGGUGGCCAUCUCAUCCUGGUGGCUGUCAAGGUGAUAGCUGCACUAAGUUUUUAUGCAACU
This is a non-coding RNA of Chiloscyllium plagiosum (whitespotted bambooshark), 473 nucleotides long. The record is from RefSeq and is a predicted model, not a curated record. Lineage: Eukaryota; Metazoa; Chordata; Chondrichthyes; Orectolobiformes; Hemiscylliidae.